Molecule: unclassified non-coding RNA, 253 nt
Filed under: uncultured Alphaproteobacteria bacterium
Lineage: Bacteria; Pseudomonadati; Pseudomonadota; Alphaproteobacteria
Description: contains 16S-23S intergenic spacer region
Rfam family: Bacterial small subunit ribosomal RNA
Source: RNAcentral
UACGGAGGGGGCUAGCGUUGUUCGGAAUUACUGGGCGUAAAGGGCGCGUAGGCGGCACGAUAAGUCAGAGGUGAAAGCCCUGGGCUCAACCUGGGAACUGCCUUUGAAACUGACGUGCUAGAGUCCGGGAGAGGAUGGUGGAACUCCCAGUGUAGAGGUGAAAUUCGUAGAUAUUGGGAAGAACACCGGUGGCGAAGGCGACCAUCUGGACCGGAACUGACGCUGAGGCGCGAAAGCGUGGGGAGCAAACAGG